UCGGGAAUUUUGGGCAAUGGGGGAAACCCUGACCCAGCAACGCCGCGUGAAGGAUGAAGUAUUUCGGUAUGUAAACUUCGUAAGAAUAGGAAGAAUAAAUGACGGUACUAUUUGUAAGGUCCGGCUAACUACGUGCCAGCAGCCGCGGUAAUACGUAGGGACCAAGCGUUGUUCGGAUUUACUGGGCGUAAAGGGCGCGUAGGCGGUGUGUCAAGUCAGUUGUGAAAUCUCCGAGCUUAACUCGGAACGGUCAACUGAUACUGUCACACUAGAGUACAGAAGGGGCAAUCGGAAUUCUUGGUGUAGCGGUGAAAUGCGUAGAUAUCAAGAGGAACACCUGAGGCGAAGGCGGGUUGCUGGGCUGAUACUGACGCUGAGGCGCGAAAGCUAGGGUAGCAAACGGGAUUAGAUACCCCCGUAGUCCCUGAGCGGGCUGGCAAGGCGCAU
RNAcentral lists this ribosomal RNA (447 nucleotides) under uncultured bacterium. Its description in RNAcentral is "bacterial SSU rRNA". It matches the Rfam family "Bacterial small subunit ribosomal RNA", at positions 355 to 825 of the family's 1533-position model. The record is from RNAcentral.